This 341-nucleotide long non-coding RNA is filed under the name Phoenix dactylifera (date palm). RNAcentral describes it as "long non-coding RNA (PDAC_LNC018531)". The record is from RNAcentral. Lineage: Eukaryota; Viridiplantae; Streptophyta; Magnoliopsida; Arecales; Arecaceae.
CCCAGCUCCUCUGUUUCCAGCGGAACAAAUCCUAUUCCGUGAUCAUCUCCCAGCGUCUUCAUCGUCCGCUUUCUUCCUCCGAGAUCUGCUCACACAUCCCUUCCAUCAGCCGCAUGGAUCCGAUUCCCUUCUCCCAGCUAGCAGCUAACGGAUUAGAAGCUCCCAUCUGCUUCAUCCUCCCGAACUCCACAUCAUCCCUCUUCCGAACCGUAUCCAACUUCCUCCCAGCUUCCGCUAGAUCCCAUUCGUGAUGACAACCACCCACGGAUAGCUCCUUCCGAACUCCCCUGCAUUCACGGGAUCCAAACAGAGUCAUCCUCAUCCCGCUAUCAGCCGUGUCC